UACGUAGGGGGCUAGCGUUGUCCGGAAUCAUUGGGCGUAAAGAGCGUGUAGGCGGCCCGGUAAGUCCGCUGUGAAAGUCGGGGGCUCAACCCUCGAAUGCCGGUGGAUACUGUCGGGCUAGAGUGCGGAAGAGGCGAGUGGAAUUCCUGGUGUAGCGGUGAAAUGCGCAGAUAUCAGGAGGAACACCGAUGGCGAAGGCAGGUCUGCUGGGCCACUACUGACGCUGAGAAGCGAAAGCAUGGGGAGCGAACAGG
Molecule: ribosomal RNA, 254 nt
Filed under: uncultured bacterium
Lineage: Bacteria
Description: partial 16S ribosomal RNA
Rfam family: Bacterial small subunit ribosomal RNA
Source: RNAcentral